AUGUCUGUGUGCGUGUGUAUGGAGCCAUUGGGUGCAGUCACUAUAGCAACCAGGCUCACACCUGCCUGCCUAACGAGCUCUGUCUCUCACUGUGCCAAGAUUAAUCUUAAACACUUCUCUUUCAACUGCUGCUGUGUCCACAGUGUUUGCUCUACAGCCAUCAUUUUACCCUCAAAACGUCGCCAUCGUUCUUCUCUUUCCAACACAUGUCUUUCAAAGCUCAGAGAUGUAAACUUUUUAAACUGUGUGGAUCCAAGUGGAGGGAUCACAUUUCAGUCAUUCAGUGAUUCAAAGAAUAUGAACUUUUAAUAUUCAUUCAGAUGUUUUCUGACUCUAAAUAGUCUUUUCUCAUUUUUUAGGUUUUUCUAAUUUACAUUUAAAACAUUUUCAGCUGUUUUCUAACUUCUUCUCUGUGGAUGUCAGCUUUUAGCAGUUCAGCUUUUUUGUUUUCAGGUGCAAAUUUCUGUAUUUUUCAUCUCAUUCAACAUUUUUAACUUAAAAUUCAGCAAUUAAUUCAUUUCAGCGCAUAUAUUCAGAUUCAAGCAUUCACACUGCAGUUUCUUCAGAAAAUGCACUUUCUAGUUAUUAUUAUUAUUAUCUAUUCCGUACGUUUUUUGUAGUCCUACUACUUCAAAACCGUUCAACUUAGAAAAACCAUUCAAACACCGUUAGAUUCCUCUUCUUUUGGACAUGACUGCUUCUAUUUUUCUCAUUUUUAACAUUUAUAUUUUUAAUUUUAUUCAACUUUUUUCAACAAAAAUUUCCCAUGUAUUUCAAUGGGGAGACCCUUCAAAUCCUCAUUCAACUUACUCAUUUUUAAACUCCUACUACUUCCACAUACGUUGACAUAGAUCCACCAUUCAAACUUUAAAACGAAGACAAGACAUUCAACUAUUCAACUUGUAUUUAUCUUUUCAAUAUCUGUUAUACUUUUUCUUCAGUUCCAGUUUAAGUUUCAUGAUGUUUUUUCAGCCAUUUCAGAGUUUAUAAUGGGUGUAUAUGGGACGGAAUGUUGGAGGUUAGAGUGAGAGCUUCAACUGCUAGAGUGAGAGGAGCGAAAAAAUUAAUCUUAAAAUAUUUUUUAAAACUGCUGCUGUGUCCGCAGCGUUUGCUCUACCGGUCUGAUUUUACCCUCAAAACGUAGCCAUCGCUGUCCUCUUUCAUCCAAUGUGUUUACUAUUGUCCUAGGUGUUAUGGUUCUUUCAUAAAUGUCACCAAAGCACAGCCUCCUCCCUCCAACUCCUCCAUAGACUCUAAUGUUAAAAUGGCUCAGAAGGUUCGUUUGAAAAUCAGAAGAGCAUGGUGUUUUUAUACUGUCACCACGUCCAUAUAAUAAACUCCACAGGCAUGAAAACUGAGAAUUAGGUAGACUAGACAUUGCUGCCGCUCACGGUGAAAGAAUUUCGUCAAUAGGACCUGUACUUUUCAUUUGGGAAGGAUUUGUUUGGGGCUGACGUUUCUGUUCAUUUUAAGCAGCAAAAGUGAGGUGCAUGUCUCUGUGCGUGUGUAUGGAGCCCCUGGCUCAGUCACUAUAGCAACCAGGCUCACACCUGCCUGCCUAACGAGCUCUGUCUCUCACUGUGCCAAGAUUCAUCUUAAACACUUCUCUUUCAACAGCUGCUGUGUCCACAGUGUUUGCUCUACAGCCAUCAUUUUACCCUCAAAACGAAGCCAUCGUUGUUCUCUUUCCAACAGCGUGUCUUUCAAAGCUCAGAGAUGUAAACCUUUAAAACUGUGUGGAUCCAAAUGGAGGGAUCAUAUUUUAGUCAUUCAGUGAUUCAAAGAAUAUGAACUUUUAAUAUUCAUUCAGAUGUUUUCUGACUCUAAAUAGUCUUUUCUCAUUACUCAGGUUUUUCUAAUUUACAUUUAAAACAUUUUCAGCUAUUUUCCAACUUCUUCUCUGUGCUUGUCAGCUUUUAGCAGUUCAGCACUUUUGUUUUCAGGUGAAAAUUUCUGUAUUUUUCAUCUCAUUCAACAUUUUUAACUUAAAAUUCAGCAAUUAAUUCUUUUCAGUGCAUAUAUUCAGAUUCAAGCAUUCACACUGCAGUUUCUUCAGAAAAUGCACUUUCUAGUUCUUCUAUUUGUGUGGAUGCCCUCAAGGGCUUCCACACUAUUGAGUUCCUGUUUCUCUUUAUUCUUUAUCUUUUCUUCAUCUUCAAGUUGCUUCCGUACGUUUUUCGGCACUGAACUACUUCAGCAGUUUUUGACCGAUUUUCUCCGUUCAAACUCUACACUGUUCUGCUCUUUCUGCUUAUUGCAGCUAUGACUUUUGGUGUUUAUUACUGUUAUACUUUUUAAAAUAUUACACUUUUUUCCUUUAAUUUGUCCCAUUGAAAUGAAUGGAAAACUUCCACAAUUCUGCUAAAACUUGCCUGUUUUUGAAACUUAACUACUUUCUUAUACUUUCACCUAGGAACUCCAUUCAAACUUUAAAAUGUUCUCAAAUUAUUGGACUAUUCCUGAAUGAUUCAGCUUUUUCAGAUCUUCUACCAUUUUAAUCUUAUCCCUCUUUAAAUUUUGAGUUGCAAAAU
Long non-coding RNA from Oreochromis niloticus (Nile tilapia), 2531 nucleotides. Lineage: Eukaryota; Metazoa; Chordata; Actinopteri; Cichliformes; Cichlidae. The record is from Ensembl.